AAGUUGAGUUUCAUGUACAAUUUUUUCAUUCAUGAUCUGUGUUUUUUGCCAUAGUCGUUGAUGAACACAUUUCUUGAUUCUAAUCCUUUUAUCAAACCAUAAAUUGCCGAAACACUUUGUGAUCCGUAAUGUCUCAAACAUGGUGUGAAUUCGAGUAUUCAGAGUUUAUGUCAAUGGCAUUUGGAAAAGAUCCAACACACAGGUAACAAUGGUGAUUUUGGUCAAGACUGCUUGGCCAACCUAGGAGACGGUUAUUCCUCACCCGAUGAUUUAAGGAAUUUUGUUAGAUAUUCCCAAUCACUAGCUGAUUAAUGUACGCGUAUUUUAAUUUUAAAAGCAUCUUUCCAGAACAUCCGCAGUCCUCCUCUUUACAUUCGUCGCAAAACACAGAGGAACAGAUGUAUUAUAUAAAAAGCGAGACGCGAGGUUCAUGGACAACACUUCCAAGAAGAAAUCGAGCACUGCAAAAACCAAUAAAGUGUAAUUGAGUUAUGAGAUUUGGCGAAAUAAACCGCUUUUGACAGUAAA
This is an RNA transcript of Dendroctonus ponderosae (mountain pine beetle), 528 nucleotides long. RefSeq lists it as uncharacterized. The record is from RefSeq and is a predicted model, not a curated record. Lineage: Eukaryota; Metazoa; Arthropoda; Insecta; Coleoptera; Curculionidae. The transcript is spliced from 4 exons.